RNAcentral lists this unclassified non-coding RNA (329 nucleotides) under soil metagenome. RNAcentral's name for it is "partial contains 5.8S ribosomal RNA, internal transcribed spacer 2, and large subunit ribosomal RNA". The stretch from base 1 to 120 matches the Rfam family "5.8S ribosomal RNA", at positions 35 to 154 of the family's 154-position model. The record is from RNAcentral.
GAUGAAGAACGUAGCGAAAUGCGACAAGUAAUGUGAAUUGCAGAAUUCCGUGAAUCAUCGAAUCUUUGAACGCACAUUGCGCCCCCUGGUAUUCCGGGGGGCAUGCCUGUCCGAGCGUCAUUACAACCCUCAAGCUCAGCUUGGUGUUGGGCCCCGCCGCCCCGGCGGGCCCUAAAGUCAGUGGCGGUGCCGUCCGGCUCCGAGCGUAGUAAUUCUUCUCGCUCUGGAGGUCCGGUCGUGUGCUCGCCAGCAACCCCCAAUUUUUUUCAGGUUGACCUCGGAUCAGGUAGGGAUACCCGCUGAACUUAAGCAUAUCAAUAAGCGGAGGA